This 467-nucleotide ribosomal RNA is filed under the name uncultured bacterium. RNAcentral's name for it is "partial 16S ribosomal RNA". It matches the Rfam family "Bacterial small subunit ribosomal RNA", at positions 28 to 506 of the family's 1533-position model. The record is from RNAcentral.
GACGAACGCUGGCGGCGUGCUUAACACAUGCAAGUCGAACGGAAAGGCCCUGCUUUUGUGGGGUGCUCGAGUGGCAAACGGGUGAGUAACACGUGAGUAACCUGCCCUUGACUUUGGGAUAACUUCAGGAAACUGGGGCUAAUACCGGAUAGGAGCUCCUGCUGCAUGGUGGGGGUUGGAAAGUUUCGGCGGUUGGGGAUGGACUCGCGGCUUAUCAGCUUGUUGGUGGGGUAGUGGCUUACCAAGGCUUUGACGGGUAGCCGGCCUGAGAGGGUGACCGGCCACAUUGGGACUGAGAUACGGCCCAGACUCCUACGGGAGGCAGCAGUGGGGAAUAUUGCACAAUGGGCGGAAGCCUGAUGCAGCAACGCCGCGUGCGGGAUGACGGCCUUCGGGUUGUAAACCGCUUUCGCCUGUGACGAAGCGUGAGUGACGGUAAUGGGUAAAGAAACACCGGCGAACUACGU